Hyla sarda is the source of this 929-nucleotide long non-coding RNA. RefSeq lists it as uncharacterized. NCBI's taxonomy places the organism in Eukaryota, Metazoa, Chordata, Amphibia, Anura, Hylidae. The record is from RefSeq and is a predicted model, not a curated record. The transcript is spliced from 4 exons.
GCAACUUUUCCUCUGGACAGAUUUUGAUAAAUCUCCCCAUAUGAUUUUAAAUUAAACUUAGAAAAUACAGGGGGACGUCACUCGUCAUCACAGAGAGCCAGCGUUGCUGUCGCGCACCACCACUACCGCCGCUGCUGGCAUAAAUAGGGUUUUGUUUUUCUUUCCAGGACGGUGGCCGUAAUGCCGGACCUAGGGUUUUAAACCUGCCACUAUGCUGUCUUCUGAUUCACCUGGGAGCUGUAUAGAACAUAAUGAAAGGAAAAAACUUUAGUGAACAAACUAUCUGGAUAACCAUAAAAGGAGGACAACCAAAUGACAAUAGUGUCUGAUGACUGCAGCCAUUUGUUUCCAUUUUUGAUCGUAAAACAUCUUUCAGCCCUAGCUUGCUACAUAGUGUACAACUUUUAAUACCAGCAAGUCUGUGGCACCAGGCUAAAGAGGUUUCUUGUUAACAAACUUGUCAAAAAGGUUUCAACAGAAAGCCUCUUCACAAAAUAAGAUAUCUCAAAAUUCAGCAUAACCGUGAUUGAUGUUCUGUAGUAGUGCUGUUACAAAUGAAAUAUUUGCUCUGAGCAUGUUUUUUGAAGGAAACUGUGGGACACUUUGAUGCAAACAGUUGAAGAAAAUCUAUCAAAUUUCCUCUAAAUAAUACAGCAGACAUAUAACUAUGAGUUAGCUGUAUUCUUUUCUCACUCUAGCUAAAUAGCAUGCAUUUUUGGAACCUGGACCCUCUAAUGUCCCUGUGGGAAUUACCAUGGAUUCUUUGAGUAAUUACUUGGCCAAACAUGUUGAUGUACAUCCCAUGUAAUCGAUUUUGGAGACCUUUAAUUCUAUGGUCUCCAAUAACUUCAGGAGAAACAAUGAAUCCCCGAUGUUGUCUUAAAGGGGUACUCCUCUGGAAUUUUUUUUUUUUUUUUAAAUCAACUGGU